This is a long non-coding RNA of Dermochelys coriacea (leatherback sea turtle), 597 nucleotides long. RefSeq lists it as uncharacterized. The record is from RefSeq and is a predicted model, not a curated record. The transcript is spliced from 4 exons. Lineage: Eukaryota; Metazoa; Chordata; Testudines; Dermochelyidae.
AAGACCUAGCAAAGGUGUCAUGGAGGGAGCAGGUUCCGAAAGGGCAGUGCCCUAGGGAAGCUUGGUCCCAAUGAAAGGACCAUUUCAAACAGCAGCAAGAGGCCCGUAUUACUGGGGGAACUACACAUUGCUCCAGAGAAUUGCUGCAAUGGUUUGACCUCUGUAGGUACCCUCAGUACAGAUUCUACUCUGGUUUGAGUCUCCAUAUACUACACCAGCAUUGACAAAAGAGGGUGCCCCAGGGAGAGCACCAACCUGUAACACUUGUGUCUGUGGAAGAUGUUGGAUUUACAGCAAUGGACUGUGAUCUAUUUGUGUGGCCAACAACACUAGACUGGAAAUCUGGAGAUCUGUCAACAGGAGCAUAACAGACUUCAAAGGGAAAAGGAGUGGACCUAGAAGCUAUAUAUAAAUCCUUUUAAGCAUCCAUUUGGCUGGCAAUCUGGAAGAUGUCAGCAUUCAAAGGAUUAGAGCAUCAUUUCAGACUCCUAAUUUAAAAUGUUACCAUAAACUGUAAUGGCUUCACCGGUCGUGGCAUGAAAUAAACUAGAAUGAUCUCAUCACCUUUAAUGACAGCUCUAUGAAAUUUAAGAUUAA